AGAACGAACGCUGGCGGCGUGGAUAAGACAUGCAAGUCGAGCGAGAUUUUUCGUUGUAGCAAUACGAUGGAAAGUCUAGCGGCGAACGGGUGCUUAACACGUGGGCAACCUGCCAUGAAGUGGGGGAUAGAUCGCCGAAAGGCGAAUUAAUACCGCAUGUGAUUAGAGAGGACAUCCUUUCGAAAUUAAAGUCGGGGCAACCUGACGCUUCUUGUGGGGCCCGCGGCCUAUCAGCUAGUUGGUGAGGUAACGGCUCACCAAGGCUUUGACGGGUAGCUGGUCUGAGAGGACGACCAGCCACACUGGGACUGAGACACGGCCCAGACACCUACGGGUGGCAGCAGUCGAGAAUUUUUGACAAUGGGGGAAACCCUGAUCGAGCCAUGCCGCGUGGAUGAUGAAGGCCUUAGGGUUGUAAAGUCCUUUUAACGGGGAAGAUAAUGACGGUACCCGUAGAAUAAGCCCGGCUAACUUCGUGCCAGCAGCCGCGGU
Molecule: ribosomal RNA, 492 nt
Filed under: uncultured bacterium
Lineage: Bacteria
Description: SSU rRNA
Rfam family: Bacterial small subunit ribosomal RNA
Source: RNAcentral